This 373-nucleotide transfer-messenger RNA is filed under the name Christensenellaceae. Its description in RNAcentral is "Borkfalkia sp019423125 Standard tmRNA". It matches the Rfam family "transfer-messenger RNA". From Rfam's summary of the family: Bacterial tmRNA, also known as 10Sa RNA or SsrA, is named for its dual tRNA and mRNA-like properties. Its role is to liberate the mRNA from a stalled ribosome. The record is from RNAcentral. Lineage: Bacteria; Bacillati; Bacillota; Clostridia; Christensenellales. RNAcentral also lists the same sequence under 1 other name.
GGGGCAGCACCGGGUUCGAUUGCAGGUGCGGGGGGAGGUAAGCACGCCGAGGAACGAAUGGCCUCGUAAAAACAUUCGGCUUAAAUUUAAAUGCAGACAAUGCAAACUACAAUGCGAACGCUCAGUUCGCAUACGCUGCUUAAUUAACUAAGCGCUCGUCCGCCCUCUGUCCCGCCGCAGAGGUCGCGGGCGUCAAUUCAGGCGGGGCACGGCCGCGGCGAGGUGAAGUCGGCGCCGCGGCGGAAUUAAGAUUUCUGCUGACGUGUCUUUUCGGUCGCAGAGGGGCACGUAGUAAGAAAAUUGCGGCAUAAGCGUGUAGAAAGCCUUUCGACAAUCCUGUAAGACGCGAGUUCAAUUCUCGCCUGCUCCACCA